UUUUUUUUUUUUCUAAUUUCGAGAUCGUGGGUACUUGGGAGGAGAUGUCGGUUUCGCACUUUCGCCCAGCUCACCACCCCCUCCGGCGCACGAGGCCAGCUCGCCGCCAACCUCUGCCGCGCGAGCCUAGUUUCGCCGCCGCCGAGGGGCCUCCUUGCGCCGUCUCGCUCCCCAUCCUCUCACCCUCUCAGCUCCCCGUCGCUACUGGUGAUGACGGUGGAAGAUGAAGCGUGCCUGCUGCGCCUGGAGGAGCAGGCGGAGCACAACGAUGGCGGCGCCUGGGACUACCUCUGCCUCGCCCGCCGGUUCUGCGCCCGCCGUCCCACGCGCCCACGUCCUCCGCGUCAGCCUUGCCCUCCUCAACAAUGUCUCCGCGUGCUCCGGCCUCGACUCAGAACAGUGGUCGUUCUGCAAGCAGGUGGCCAUGGAUUGCCAGCGUCUCGAUGUGGCAAAGGACUAUAUUGGAAUCCUUUCAAAGCAAUCUCCUAGCAGCACAAUGGUUGUUAACUCCCAGAGAAAGGAAUGGCAACUCUCCUGGCGAUGUCGCUGCUGUUAGCCCACCGCCGUUGCCGCCUCUCCUGCGUGUGCUCCCUCCAACACUGCUGGCAGAUACAGGUGCUCCUCCUCCAAAUCCCCUUCCCCAACUAGACAUGCACCAUCUCCUACUCCUCCCCCUUCCCUUUCUUGAUCCAAUUUGAUGAUUCUAGUGCCGGAUGUGUUCCCUGCGGCCUCUUCAGUUGCAGCAAGGUGAGAUUGUUUUGUUUGCCAAUGCUAGUUCAAUGCAGCUUUCAGUUACUCAUGGGAAAGGAUUUGGUGCUCUAAUUCCCAACUAGUAGCGUCAAUCAGGAUAUUAUAUGUUUCUAGAUGCAAACCCAAGUUCAUUGAAAUGUCUGGCUUUGGAUGCUUGUUCCUGUAGAAUAUAUAUGCAUUUUAAUUAGGAUUAUCGCAUAUAAAUGCAAACAUGGCCUUCAUUGAUUUCCUGAACCUGCUGCACAAAUAUUCAGAAAUAUUCUUUUCUAGCAAGGGUAUUUGCUACUAGGUUUGCUAAAAUCCUGAAAUGAAGUGUCUGCUUUUCCCAAAUAGUAUUUUCAUUCUAAUCUAUACUAUAAUUGAAAUCUUUUCCAGGCAAAUCCCACCUGCAAGAUCAACGACUCACAACACAUGUCCUAUAGAUUUAACGGCCUAGAUUAGAAGUAUGAUCACGACCUUACACACCCUCAGCCUCGCGUCAAAUCAAACCUCCGUCAGCCGUGUCGCGGGAUCGAUUCUUCCAAUCGCAUAAAUAAAAGAAAACCUCCGUGAAUACUAAAAAAAGGCUGCAACCUAAUGCUGUGGGAUCGAUUCUUGCCGAUCGCACACUAGCAAAAAAUCUACGUCAAUUACUCGCUCCUUAGGAAAUCCACCUCUGUCAACGAGUCAAGCACGAUUCAAUUUUUGAAUAGACCAUAAUUUCCGCCUCCUUCAUCUACCACAACUGACGCUCGGCCGUGGAGGACCGUCGUCGGGCUGGUGCCGUAGCCAGGUCGCAUGAUCCACCUCCGUCUUCCAGCGAUCGCCGCGCUUGGGAUUUCAAGGCAUUGACUGUAUCACGUCGUCUUUGUCAUCACCGUCGACCUCCUUCGCCGGAACCAUGUUCGACGCCAACAGGGAUCUCUGAACGUCGCAUGAAGAACCAGGUCUUUCCUUCAUUCGUAUCUUGCUUUCCUCAUCGCUGUGUAUGCAUGGAUCGGAGGUGCAGUUGUGCAUUCCACUGUGCUUCUUCUACUACUGCAAAAAAAAUAUUUCCGAACUAUAAUUUUUGUUUUUAGAAGCAUCCCAAAAUUAAGCCGUAGCGUUAGCACGGGUAUUAUACAGUAGUAGUAAAAAAAACAAUAAUAGUGGUAAUACGUAGUAGUACCACCAUCCGUCAAAUACCCAAGAAAGAAUUGACAAUACGAGGUGUAUUCAGAGGUGACAUAAGGCGUCUUGCAUGUACUGUACGGGUCAAUUCAUACUGAAGGUGGACACCAAACACUAUUUGAGGAAACAAAACUGUGUCAUGACACGUGAUUUGUGGAGGAGGCCGCUGCCCGCUGGUCACGUUCCGUCCGGCUCACACUAGUUUACUUAAUUAGCUGAAGGUGUCCAUCUAGAGUUUACUAACUGAUUGUGUACAUAAUCAGUAUUUAAUCUUCUAGCUUUUCCCAGGUCAUUUUUUGUAUUUGUUGUCUGCACAUCUACAGUGGUUGUGCUAAAUAACGAAAUUAUUAUGAUUUUUUCCUGCCAUGGAACAUGAAGGACUAAAUGGCUACUGAUUUUUAGAUCUUAUUUUGGGCACGUCAAGUUUGGUAGAAGGGCAGGAGAAAGAAUGAUGAUUAUGUUGUAAAUGGAUAGGUACUAAACUCAGAGAAGGGCAGGAGAAAGAAUGACUCAUGCUGACAUGUAUAUUUGCACUAGCCUACUCAGUGCUAAUGUUUUGUUUGAAAUAUAGUGGUUGAGAAAGUCACAGAUUCUCUAUGAGGUAGCACAUGGAGACGAGGAUGGCACCGCGACCACAGGCGACGAGGACAGCGGCAAGCAGAUCUCAACCCUCAUCUCGGCCCCUGUCGGACAGUGCUAAUGAUGGUGACCAUAGCACAAACCCGUGCGCUUCCCAUCGCGCAUGUUGAACCCUAUUGAGGAGCAGAGGCAGCCCCGUGUUCGAUCCAUUUCUCCUUGCGAUGUGUGAUGGUGUGGCCGGAGCUUCACGACGUCAACCCCAUCCUCGCAGCUCUCCUCCAGGCGCGGCCACUAGAGUGGAUCUCUCUCUGCACCAUGCUAGAUCUGGAGGUGGAUGCAGGCAUGUUUGUCUGGAGGAGAAUAACUGAGGCAAAUCGUUAAUCAAGCCCAAGAUGGAUCGACACGAGGGUUGGUGCAAUAUCAAUGUAGGUUGAUUAACGAUCUGCCUACAACAAUGUUGCUGUCUUAAGAAAUGAAUUGUUUGUCUUCUUUGUCAAAUAUAUGUUGUUUCAUUAGAUUUUGCAGACUAAACAACAACAUUUGGUUGCACGGAGAACUACAGGAUGCCUGUAGAUAGGAAUCACAGCAUGCUAACACUCCUAUGCAUGCACGAACAUAAAGCUGAAUGCUUCCAAUACAGGCAAGCUCUAAUGAGCUAGAAGAUUUUGUGGCAGCAUGGUACAGAAUGCAUCAACCAUAGUAAUCAGCUGGAGUCCCCAAGCUGCGCUAAACAAUCAAUAGCCUUGCAAAACACAAACAGGAAAUCUGCAAGCAGAGAACUCUAACUUGGAAGACCAAGUGCACUACGGAGGUCAAAUGCAACAUAUAUCUUUUUGAAUGUCACUGAUUAUGCCUUUGCACACUUGCAGAAUCAACAAUGACUGACUACUUUCAGUUUUCAAAGAUAAAAACACAUUACAAAAUUCGGGUCUUGACAGAAUGCAGGCAAAGAAAACAACACGAGCUGACACCUCCAAACAGAAGCCAAUAGCAAAUGAAUUAGCCUUACACUCUUUUCUUUGAAACAGGGAAGUUGAAUUUGCUUAAGGAGAACCCACAGCAUGACUUCCCCAGGAGCAGCUUUAGACUAGUCUUAGACUAUUGGCAUUUGAUUGAUUUCUGAAAAAAAAACAUAUUGAUUUACUAUUUGCAUGUAUGAUUAUUGUGAGUUAUACCCUUCAUGCACAUAUAAUAUAUUUGGCCGGCUCUUUAUUGGAACAAA
Long non-coding RNA from Sorghum bicolor (sorghum), 3700 nucleotides. RefSeq lists it as uncharacterized. NCBI's taxonomy places the organism in Eukaryota, Viridiplantae, Streptophyta, Magnoliopsida, Poales, Poaceae. The transcript has 10 exons. The record is from RefSeq and is a predicted model, not a curated record.